Molecule: unclassified non-coding RNA, 334 nt
Filed under: uncultured fungus
Lineage: Eukaryota; Fungi
Description: partial contains small subunit ribosomal RNA, internal transcribed spacer 1, and 5.8S ribosomal RNA
Rfam family: Eukaryotic small subunit ribosomal RNA (bases 1-73)
Source: RNAcentral
UCAAACUUGGUCAUUUAGAGGAAGUAAAAGUCGUAACAAGGUUUCCGUAGGUGAACCUGCGGAAGGAUCAUUAUCAUAAUACAAUCAAGGUGCUGAGGGCUGUCGCUGACCUUUUUGGUCGUGCACGCCCCCAGUACUCUUGUACAUCCAUCCCUCACCCCUUUGUGCAUCACCGCGUGGGCUACCUUUUGGCUUGUUCCAAAAGGGGUUCACGUUUUUACAUAGACACCUUUUAAAUGCAUGUGUAGAAUGUCUUACAUUUUUGCGGUCACACGCAAUCAAUACAACUUUCAACAACGGAUCUCUUGGCUCUCGCAUCGAUGAAGAACGCAGC